UACGGGGGGGGCAAGCGUUGUUCGGAAUUACUGGGCGUAAAGGGCGCGUAGGUGGCCAACUAAGUCAGACGUGAAAUCCCUCGGCUUAACCGGGGAACUGCGUCUGAUACUGGAUGGCUUGAGUUUGGGAGAGGGACGGCGGAAUUCCAGGUGUAGCGGUGAAAUGCGUAGAUAUCUGGAGGAACACCGGUGGCGAAGGCAGCCCCCUGG
Molecule: ribosomal RNA, 210 nt
Filed under: uncultured bacterium
Lineage: Bacteria
Description: partial 16S ribosomal RNA
Rfam family: Bacterial small subunit ribosomal RNA
Source: RNAcentral